RNAcentral lists this ribosomal RNA (281 nucleotides) under Escherichia coli. RNAcentral's name for it is "partial 16S ribosomal RNA". It matches the Rfam family "Bacterial small subunit ribosomal RNA", at positions 1 to 278 of the family's 1533-position model. The record is from RNAcentral. Lineage: Bacteria; Pseudomonadati; Pseudomonadota; Gammaproteobacteria; Enterobacterales; Enterobacteriaceae. RNAcentral also lists the same sequence under 1 other name.
AAAUUGAAGAGUUUGAUCAUGGCUCAGAUUGAACGCUGGCGGCAGGCCUAACACAUGCAAGUCGAACGGUAACAGGAAACAGCUUGCUGUUUCGCUGACGAGUGGCGGACGGGUGAGUAAUGUCUGGGAAACUGCCUGAUGGAGGGGGAUAACUACUGGAAACGGUAGCUAAUACCGCAUAAUGUCGCAAGACUAAAGAGGGGGACCUUCGGGCCUCUUGCCAUCGGAUGUGCCCAGAUGGGAUUAGCUAGUAGGUGGGGUAACGGCUCACCUAGGCGACG